Molecule: ribosomal RNA, 625 nt
Filed under: Triticum aestivum (bread wheat)
Lineage: Eukaryota; Viridiplantae; Streptophyta; Magnoliopsida; Poales; Poaceae
Description: partial small subunit ribosomal RNA
Source: RNAcentral
CCCCGCUCGCCCCACUUCCCCUCCCCACACCCCGCUCCUCCCUCUGCCCCCCGAUUGGAUCGGGGGGAUCGACCCCAUCGAUCGAUCGCCGUCGCCGCCCGGAUCGGUCGCCGCCCCGUCGUCCUCGACUCCACCUCGCCGGACCGCCUCCUCAUCUCCGGCAACGCACGCGUCCCCGUCCUCCUCCUCGACAACCGCUGCCAUUGCCCUACGCGCCGUCACCCCGAGACUGCCGGGGACCCCAGUUCGACUACGGUGUUGACGACUCAUCCUUCUUGCCAGAACAACCAGACGUUGGAGCCCAGGAGCCAGACGCCACUGUCGAUGAUGACUACUACACUUGAGGUGCCUACUACUACGUGCAGGCUGCUGAUGACGACCAGGAGUAGUUAGGAGGAUCCCAGGUAGGAGGCCUGUGCCUCUUUCGAUCUGUAUCCCAGUUUGUGCUAGCCAUCUUAUGGCAACUUGUUUAACUUAUGUCUGUACUCAGAUAUUGUUGCUUCCGCUGACUUGUCUAUGAUCGAGCACUUGUAUUCGAGUCCUCGAGGCCCUUGGCUUGUAAUAUGAUGCUUGUAUGACUUAUUUAUGUUUUUAGAGUUGUGUUGUGAUAUAUUCCCGUGAGUCC